RNAcentral lists this ribosomal RNA (207 nucleotides) under uncultured bacterium. RNAcentral's name for it is "partial 16S ribosomal RNA". It matches the Rfam family "Bacterial small subunit ribosomal RNA", at positions 568 to 774 of the family's 1533-position model. The record is from RNAcentral.
UGUGCAGACGGUCUGUUAAGUCACUUGUUAAAUUCUUCAGCCUAACUGAAGACCUGCGGGUGAAACUAAUUGACUAGAGGGUGGAAGAGAGAAGUGGAAUUCUCGGAGUAGCGGUAAAAUGCGUAGAUCUCGAGAGGAACACCAAUGGCGAAGGCAGCUUCUUGGUCCACUCCUGACGUUCAAACACGAAAGCGUGGGGAGCAAACA